Molecule: non-coding RNA, 115 nt
Filed under: uncultured Sporosarcina sp.
Lineage: Bacteria; Bacillati; Bacillota; Bacilli; Caryophanales; Caryophanaceae
Description: SAM riboswitch (S box leader)
Rfam family: SAM riboswitch aptamer (S box leader)
About the family: The SAM riboswitch is found upstream of a number of genes which code for proteins involved in methionine or cysteine biosynthesis in Gram-positive bacteria.
Source: RNAcentral
UCUUAUCCCGAGUCGGCGGAGGGACAGGCCCUAUGAUGCCCGGCAACCUGCAUGGACGUCCUUGUCCAUGAAAAGGUGCCAAACCUGAAGCAGGGGGAAACCCUGGACGAUAAGA